GGGGCCAUAGCUCAGUUGGUAGAGCGCCAGCUUUGCAAGCUGGAUGUCGUCGGUUCGACCCCGACUGGCUCCACCA
RNAcentral lists this transfer RNA (76 nucleotides) under Gammaproteobacteria bacterium RIFCSPHIGHO2_02_FULL_38_33. RNAcentral's name for it is "tRNA-Ala". It matches the Rfam family "tRNA". From Rfam's summary of the family: Transfer RNA (tRNA) molecules are approximately 80 nucleotides in length. Their secondary structure includes four short double-helical elements and three loops (D, anti-codon, and T loops). Lineage: Bacteria; Pseudomonadati; Pseudomonadota; Gammaproteobacteria. The record is from RNAcentral. RNAcentral also lists the same sequence under 2 other names.